UACGUAGGGGGCAAGCGUUGUCCGGAAUCAUUGGGCGUAAAGAGCGUGUAGGCGGCCCGGUAAGUCCGCUGUGAAAGUCCAGGGCUCAACCCUGGGAUGCCGGUGGAUACUGUCGGGCUCGAGUCCGGAAGAGGCGAGUGGAAUUCCUGGUGUAGCGGUGAAAUGCGCAGAUAUCAGGAGGAACACCAAUGGCGAAGGCAGCUCGCUGGGACGUGACUGACACUGAGGCGCGAAAGCGUGGGGAGCGAACAGG
RNAcentral lists this ribosomal RNA (253 nucleotides) under uncultured bacterium. RNAcentral's name for it is "partial 16S ribosomal RNA". It matches the Rfam family "Bacterial small subunit ribosomal RNA", at positions 524 to 776 of the family's 1533-position model. The record is from RNAcentral.